This 960-nucleotide ribosomal RNA is filed under the name uncultured euryarchaeote pBRKC22. RNAcentral describes it as "SSU rRNA". It matches the Rfam family "Archaeal small subunit ribosomal RNA", at positions 483 to 1429 of the family's 1478-position model. Lineage: Archaea; Methanobacteriati; Methanobacteriota. The record is from RNAcentral.
UUCGAGUGGUCAGGACGAAUAUUGGGUCUAAAGCGUUCGUAGCGGGACAAGUAGGUCCCUGGUUAAAUCCGACGUCACAAGCGUUGGGCUGCUGGGGAUACCGCUAGUCUUGAGAGCGGGAUAGGACAGGGGUAGUCUAUGGCAGGGGUGAAAUCCAGUGAUCCAUAGGCGACCACCGAUGGCGAAGGCACCUGUCUGGAACGUAUCUAACCGUGAUGGACGAAAGCCAGAAGAGCGACCCGGAUUAGAUACCCGGUUAGUCCUGGCCGUAAACGAUGCCGACUAAGUGUUGCAGCGUGGGCCAAGACCACUCUCUAGUGCCGACAGCGAAAGCGUCAAGUGAGCCGCCUGGGAAGUACGUUCGCAAGGAUGAAACUUAAAGGAAUUGGCCGGGGCGCCUACUACAAGAAGUGGAGCCUGCGGUUUAAUUGGACUCAACUCCGGGAAACUCACCUAGGCCGUAACACGGAUGAUUGUCCUGUUGAAGACACUGCUUGACGUGUUACUGGAGGUGCAUGGCCAUCGUCAGUUCGUGCCGUGAGGUGUCCUGUUAAGUCAGGCAACGAACGAGAUCCCUACCGUCAAUUGCCAGCGAGACGGUCAACUUGGAUCGUCGGGACAUUGGCGGGACUGCUCGCCGAAAAAGUGAGAGGAAGGAAGUGGCAACGGUAGGUCAGUAUGCCCCGAUAUGCCCAGGGCUACACGCGGGCUACAAUGGCUGGUACAAUGGGUCCGUGACCCGAAAGGGGAAACCAAUCCCGAAAGCCGGUCUCAGUCAGGAUUGUGGGUUUGCAACUCAGCCCACAUGAAUAUGGAAUUUCUUAGUAAACGUGUCAUUAAGACACGUUUUGAAUACGUCCCCGCGCUUUGUACACACCGCCUGUCGUUGCAACCAACUGCAUGGUGGUUGAGGCGCUUGAUUUAAUGCGAGUGUCAAUACUGCUGUGUGCUAGGAGGCAA